Molecule: ribosomal RNA, 3039 nt
Filed under: Klebsiella oxytoca
Lineage: Bacteria; Pseudomonadati; Pseudomonadota; Gammaproteobacteria; Enterobacterales; Enterobacteriaceae
Description: bacterial LSU rRNA
Rfam family: Bacterial large subunit ribosomal RNA
Source: RNAcentral
GGGUUGUGAGGUUAAGCGACUAAGCGUACACGGUGGAUGCCCUGGCAGUCAGAGGCGAUGAAGGACGUGCUAAUCUGCGAAAAGCGUCGGUAAGGUGAUAUGAACCGUUACAGCCGGCGAUGUCCGAAUGGGGAAACCCAGUGCAAUUCGUUGCACUAUCGUUAACUGAAUACAUAGGUUAACGAGGCGAACCGGGGGAACUGAAACAUCUAAGUACCCCGAGGAAAAGAAAUCAACCGAGAUUCCCCCAGUAGCGGCGAGCGAACGGGGAGCAGCCCGGAGUCUGAAUCAGCUUGUGUGUUAGUGGAAGCGUCUGGAAAGUCGCAGGGUACAGGGUGAUACUCCCGUACACUAAAACGCACAGGUUGUGAACUCGAAGAGUAGGGCGGGACACGUGGUAUCCUGUCUGAAUAUGGGGGGACCAUCCUCCAAGGCUAAAUACUCCUGACUGACCGAUAGUGAACCAGUACCGUGAGGGAAAGGCGAAAAGAACCCCGGCGAGGGGAGUGAAAAAGAACCUGAAACCGUGUACGUACAAGCAGUAGGAGCCCCACCACCAAAGCGUUUCGCUUUGCGUGGUGCGCAAAAUGCGUAACGACAGCAUGAUGGACGGUUAACGGAGCGUCAGCGACGUUCAACCUCAAAAAUCAGGCAGUGGAGCGUUUUGGGGUGGGGUGACUGCGUACCUUUUGUAUAAUGGGUCAGCGACUUAUAUUCUGUAGCAAGGUUAACCGUAUAGGGGAGCCGCAGGGAAACCGAGUCUUAACUGGGCGUUAAGUUGCAGGGUAUAGACCCGAAACCCGGUGAUCUAGCCAUGGGCAGGUUGAAGGUUGGGUAACACUAACUGGAGGACCGAACCGACUAAUGUUGAAAAAUUAGCGGAUGACUUGUGGCUGGGGGUGAAAGGCCAAUCAAACCGGGAGAUAGCUGGUUCUCCCCGAAAGCUAUUUAGGUAGCGCCUCGUGAACUCAUCUUCGGGGUAGAGCACUGUUUCGGCUAGGGGGUCAUCCCGACUUACCAACCCGAUGCAAACUACGAAUACCGAAGAAUGUUAUCACGGGAGACACACGGCGGGUGCUAACGUCCGUCGUGAAGAGGGAAACAACCCAGACCGCCAGCUAAGGUCCCAAAGUCAUGGUUAAGUGGGAAACGAUGUGGGAAGGCCCAGACAGCCAGGAUGUUGGCUUAGAAGCAGCCAUCAUUUAAAGAAAGCGUAAUAGCUCACUGGUCGAGUCGGCCUGCGCGGAAGAUGUAACGGGGCUAAACCAUGCACCGAAGCUGCGGCAGCGACACUAUGUGUUGUUGGGUAGGGGAGCGUUCUGUAAGCCGUUGAAGGUGGCCUGUGAGGGUUGCUGGAGGUAUCAGAAGUGCGAAUGCUGACAUAAGUAACGAUAAUGCGGGUGAAAAACCCGCACGCCGGAAGACCAAGGGUUCCUGUCCAACGUUAAUCGGGGCAGGGUGAGUCGACCCCUAAGGCGAGGCCGAAAGGCGUAGUCGAUGGGAAACAGGUUAAUAUUCCUGUACUUGGUGUUACUGCGAAGGGGGACGGAGAAGGCUAUGUUGGCCGGGCGACGGUUGUCCCGGUUUAAGCAUGUAGGCGGAUGUUCCAGGUAAAUCCGGAACGUUACUAACGCUGAGGUGUGAUGACGAGGCACUACGGUGCUGAAGUGACAAAUGCCCUGCUUCCAGGAAAAGCCUCUAAGCAUCAGGUAACAUCAAAUCGUACCCCAAACCGACACAGGUGGUCAGGUAGAGAAUACCAAGGCGCUUGAGAGAACUCGGGUGAAGGAACUAGGCAAAAUGGUGCCGUAACUUCGGGAGAAGGCACGCUGAUGGUAAGUGAAGUGACUUGCUCAUGGAGCUGAAAUCAGUCGAAGAUACCAGCUGGCUGCAACUGUUUAUUAAAAACACAGCACUGUGCAAACACGAAAGUGGACGUAUACGGUGUGACGCCUGCCCGGUGCCGGAAGGUUAAUUGAUGGGGUUAUCCGUAAGGAGAAGCUCUUGAUCGAAGCCCCGGUAAACGGCGGCCGUAACUAUAACGGUCCUAAGGUAGCGAAAUUCCUUGUCGGGUAAGUUCCGACCUGCACGAAUGGCGUAAUGAUGGCCAGGCUGUCUCCACCCGAGACUCAGUGAAAUUGAACUCGCUGUGAAGAUGCAGUGUACCCGCGGCAAGACGGAAAGACCCCGUGAACCUUUACUAUAGCUUGACACUGAACACUGGUCCUUGAUGUGUAGGAUAGGUGGGAGGCUUUGAAGUGUGGACGCCAGUCUGCAUGGAGCCAUCCUUGAAAUACCACCCUUUAAUGGCUGGUGUUCUAACGUGGGCCCCUAAUCGGGGUUGCGGACAGUGUCUGGUGGGUAGUUUGACUGGGGCGGUCUCCUCCUAAAGAGUAACGGAGGAGCACGAAGGUCAGCUAAUCCUGGUCGGACAUCAGGAGGUUAGUGCAAUGGCAUAAGCUGGCUUGACUGCGAGCGUGACGGCGCGAGCAGGUGCGAAAGCAGGUCAUAGUGAUCCGGUGGUUCUGAAUGGAAGGGCCAUCGCUCAACGGAUAAAAGGUACUCCGGGGAUAACAGGCUGAUACCGCCCAAGAGUUCAUAUCGACGGCGGUGUUUGGCACCUCGAUGUCGGCUCAUCACAUCCUGGGGCUGAAGUAGGUCCCAAGGGUAUGGCUGUUCGCCAUUUAAAGUGGUACGCGAGCUGGGUUUAGAACGUCGUGAGACAGUUCGGUCCCUAUCUGCCGUGGGCGCUGGAGAAUUGAGGGGGGCUGCUCCUAGUACGAGAGGACCGGAGUGGACGCAUCACUGGUGUUCGGGUUGUCAUGCCAAUGGCAUUGCCCGGUAGCUAAAUGCGGAAGAGAUAAGUGCUGAAAGCAUCUAAGCACGAAACUUGCCCCGAGAUGAGUUCUCCCUGACCCUUUAAGGGUCCUGAAGGAACGUUGAAGACGACGACGUUGAUAGGCCGGGUGUGUAAGCGCAGCGAUGCGUUGAGCUAACCGGUACUAAUGAACCGUGAGGCUUAACCUUACAACGCCGAAG